This 448-nucleotide long non-coding RNA is filed under the name Linum usitatissimum (flax). RNAcentral describes it as "long non-coding RNA (LUSI_LNC005018)". The record is from RNAcentral. Lineage: Eukaryota; Viridiplantae; Streptophyta; Magnoliopsida; Malpighiales; Linaceae.
UCUCAUUUUUUUCCUUUCUUCUUCACCGACUCUCCUUCUCUUUCCCUUCUCUUCGCCGAUCUCACAAUGACCACCUUCCUUCCCUUUCACCUUGCAAUGGUUGCGACGGGUCGCCGCAUCCUCCACCUUUUUCUCACUUACAACAGCGGCGAUGAAGAAAAAAAAGGGUAAAACAAUGGAUCCUCCUUUUUACUCCUCUCUUUUUCUGUUUUAAAAUCGGAUUCGGGCUUGUAUGACGUCGGAGGAUACUUCCAGCGACAUGGAAGUCCCGAUCUACAGAUCUAGCAAUAUUCCGCUUUCUGACUCUUGCUUUCUCUAGUUUUUUGUUGUUUUGUUUUGUUUCUUUUUUUAGGGUUUGAAAUCGGUGAAGAGAAAAGAGGAUGGGACCUAACCGCCGACAAUGCAGCCAGCGGCUAGAGAUGAGACAGACAUAGAGGGGUAAAGUCAG